ACCUUGAUUCCAGGCCAUGCCGCGUGUGUGAGAAGGCCUUAUGGUCGUAAAGCACUUUAGCGAGACGAGGCUACUUUAGAUAAUACCUAGAGAUAGUGGACGUUACUCGCAGAAUAAGCACCGGCUAACUCUGUGCCAGCAGCCGCGGUAAUACAGAGGGUGCAAGCGUUAAUCGGAUUUACUGGGCGUAAAGCGCGCGUAGGCGGCUAAUUAAGUCAAAUGUGAAAUCCCCGAGCUUAACUUGGGAAUUGCAUUCGAUACUGGUUAGCUAGAGUGUGGGAGAGGAUGGUAGAAUUCCAGGUGUAGCGGUGAAAUGCGUAGAGAUCUGGAGGAAUACCGAUGGCGAAGGCAGCCAUCUGGCCUAACACUGACGCUGAGGUGCGAAAGCAUGGGGAGCAAACAGGAUUAGAUACCCUGGUAGUCCAUGCCGUAAACGAUGUCUACUAGCCGUUGGGGCCUUUGAGGCUUUAGUGGCGCAGCUAACGCGAUAAGUAGACCGCCUGGGGAGUACGGUCGCAAGACUAAAACUCAAAUGAAUUGACGGGGGCCCGCACAAGCGGUGGAGCAUGUGGUUUAAUUCGAUGCAACGCGAAGAACCUUACCUGGCCUUGACAUAGUAAGAACUUUCCAGAGAUGGAUUGGUGCCUUCGGGAACUUACAUACAGGUGCUGCAUGGCUGUCGUCAGCUCGUGUCGUGAGAUGUUGGGUUAAGUCCCGCAACGAGCGCAACCCUUUUCCUUAUUUGCCAGCGAGUAAUGUCGGGAACUUUAAGGAUACUGCCAGUGACAAACUGGAGGAAGGCGGGGACGACGUCAAGUCAUCAUGGCCCUUACGGCCAGGGCUACACACGUGCUACAAUGGUCGGUACAAAGGGUUGCUACACAGCGAUGUGAUGCUAAUCUCAAAAAGCCGAUCGUAGUCCGGAUUGGAGUCUGCAACUCGACUCCAUGAAGUCGGAAUCGCUAGUAAUCGCGGAUCAGAAUGCCGCGGUGAAUACGUUCCCGGGCCUUGUACACACCGCCCGUCACACCAUGGGAGUUUGUUGCACCAGAAGUAGCUAGCCUAACUGCAAAGAGGGCGG
Molecule: ribosomal RNA, 1081 nt
Filed under: Acinetobacter nosocomialis
Lineage: Bacteria; Pseudomonadati; Pseudomonadota; Gammaproteobacteria; Moraxellales; Moraxellaceae
Description: bacterial SSU rRNA
Rfam family: Bacterial small subunit ribosomal RNA
Source: RNAcentral